AGACGCUGGCGGCGUGCCUAACACAUGCAAGUCGAACGGAGCUAUUGACUUCGGUUGAUAGCUUAGUGGCGAACGGGUGAGUAACGCGUGAGCAACCUGUCUUUCAGAGGGGGAUAACAACGAGAAAUCGUUGCUAAUACCGCAUAAGACCACACUGUCGCAUGGCAGAGGGGUAAAAGGAGCAAUCCGCUGAUUGGAGGGGCUCGCGUCCCAUUAGAUAGUAGGUGAGGUAACGGCUCACCUAGUCUGCGAUGGGUAGCCGAGCUGAGAGGCUGAACGGCCACACUGGAACUGAGACACGGUCCAGACUCCUACGGGAGGCAGCAGUGGGGAAUAUUGGGCAAUGGGACGAAAGCCUGACCCAGCAACGCCGCGUGAGGGAAGAAGGUCUUCGGAUUAGUAAACCUCUGUUCUUGGUGAACGAAAAAGAUGACGGUAGCCAAGGAGAAAGCCCCGGCUAACUACGUG
Molecule: ribosomal RNA, 468 nt
Filed under: uncultured bacterium
Lineage: Bacteria
Description: bacterial SSU rRNA
Rfam family: Bacterial small subunit ribosomal RNA
Source: RNAcentral